Molecule: ribosomal RNA, 350 nt
Filed under: uncultured bacterium
Lineage: Bacteria
Description: bacterial SSU rRNA
Rfam family: Bacterial small subunit ribosomal RNA
Source: RNAcentral
GAGGAAUAUUGGACAAUGGACGAAAGUCUGAUCCAGCCAUGCCGCGUGCAGGAUGACGGCCCUAUGGGUUGUAAACUGCUUUUAUACAGGAAGAAACACUCCCACGUGUGGGGGCUUGACGGUACUGUACGAAUAAGGAUCGGCUAACUCCGUGCCAGCAGCCGCGGUAAUACGGAGGAUCCAAGCGUUAUCCGGAAUUAUUGGGUUUAAAGGGUCCGCAGGCGGUCUAUUAAGUCAGAGGUGAAAUCUUGCAGCUCAACUGUAAAAUUGCCUUUGAUACUGGUAGACUUGAGUCAUUGUGAAGUGGUUAGAAUGUGUAGUGUAGCGGUGAAAUGCAUAGAUAUUACACA